Molecule: transfer RNA, 72 nt
Filed under: Ictidomys tridecemlineatus (thirteen-lined ground squirrel)
Lineage: Eukaryota; Metazoa; Chordata; Mammalia; Rodentia; Sciuridae
Description: Spermophilus tridecemlineatus (thirteen-lined ground squirrel) tRNA
Rfam family: tRNA
About the family: Transfer RNA (tRNA) molecules are approximately 80 nucleotides in length. Their secondary structure includes four short double-helical elements and three loops (D, anti-codon, and T loops).
Source: Rfam by way of RNAcentral
UGGGAUAGAGCUUAAUGGUAGAGCACGUGCCUAGCAUGCAUAAGACCCUGGAUUCCACCCCCAGCAUUACAA